GCAUAUCAAUAAGCGGAGGAAAAGAAACCAACUGGGAUUGCCUUAGUAACGGCGAGUGAAGCGGCAAUAGCUCAAAUUUGAAAGCUGGCCCCUUUGGGGUCCGCGUUGUAAUUUGUAGAGGAUGAUUCGGCGAGGGCUCCCGUCUAAGUCCCCUGGAACGGGGCGUCAUAGAGGGUGAGAAUCCCGUAUGUGAUGGGUUGCCUUAGCCAUGUGAAUCUCCUUCGACGAGUCGAGUUGUUUGGGAAUGCAGCUCUAAAUGGGAGGUAAAUUUCUUCUAAAGCUAAAUACCGGCCAGAGACCGAUAGCGCACAAGUAGAGUGAUCGAAAGAUGAAAAGCACUUUGGAAAGAGAGUUAAAAAGUACGUGAAAUUGUUGAAAGGGAAGCGCUUGCAGCCAGACUUGUCCGCAGUUGCUCAGCCGGUCUCCUGACCGGCGUACUCUUCUGCGGCCAGGCCAGCAUCAGUUCGGGCGGUCGGAUAAAGACCCUAGGAAUGUAGCUCCUCUCGGGGAGUGUUAUAGCCUGGGGUGGAAUGCGGCCAGCCUGGACUGAGGAUCUCGCUUCGGCUAGGAUGCUGGCGUAAUGGCUGUAAGCGGCCCGUCUUGAAACACGGACCAAGGAGUCUAACAUCUAUGCGAGUGUUUGGGUGUCAAACCCAUACGCGUAAUGAAAGUGAACGGAGGUGGGAACCCUCACGGGUGCACCAUCGACCGAUCCUGAUGUCUUCGGAUGGAUUUGAGUAAGAGCAUAGCUGUUGGGACCCGAAAGAUGGUGAACUAUGCCUGAAUAGGGUGAAGCCAGAGGAAACUCUGGUGGAGGCUCGCAGCGGUUCUGACGUGCAAAUCGAUCGUCAAAUUUGGGUAUAGGGGCGAAAGACUAAUCGAACCAUCUAGUAGCUGGUUCCUGCCGAAGUUUCCC
This 916-nucleotide ribosomal RNA is filed under the name Dothiorella viticola. RNAcentral describes it as "eukaryotic LSU rRNA". It matches the Rfam family "Eukaryotic large subunit ribosomal RNA", at positions 38 to 972 of the family's 3401-position model. Lineage: Eukaryota; Fungi; Ascomycota; Dothideomycetes; Botryosphaeriales; Botryosphaeriaceae. The record is from RNAcentral.